Molecule: non-coding RNA, 98 nt
Organism: Stygiomarasmius scandens
Lineage: Eukaryota; Fungi; Basidiomycota; Agaricomycetes; Agaricales; Campanellaceae
Source: the annotation of a GenBank genome assembly
GUCACUUUGCCGGAGUGGUUAACGGGAUCGCCUGCUACUUAUAUAAGCAGCCAAGCGGUUGGGCUUUGCCCGCGUGUGUUCGAAUCGCACAGGUGACG